This 254-nucleotide ribosomal RNA is filed under the name uncultured bacterium. Its description in RNAcentral is "partial 16S ribosomal RNA". It matches the Rfam family "Bacterial small subunit ribosomal RNA", at positions 524 to 776 of the family's 1533-position model. The record is from RNAcentral.
UACGUAGGGCGCGAGCGUUGUCCGGAAUUAUUGGGCGUAAAGAGCUCGUAGGCGGCCUGUCGCGUCCGCUGUGAAAACCCGGGGCUUAACCCCCGGGCCUGCAGUGGAUACGGGCAGGCUGGAGGCAGGCAGGGGAGACUGGAAUUCCUGGUGUAGCGGUGAAAUGCGCAGAUAUCAGGAGGAACACCGGUGGCGAAGGCGGGUCUCUGGGCCGAUACUGACGCUGAGGAGCGAAAGCGUGGGGAGCGAACAGG